GACAGAGGGUGCAAACGUUGUUCGGAAUUACUGGGCGUAAAGCGCGUGUAGGCAGCUUGGCAAGUCGGGUGUGAAAGCCCUGGGCUUAACCUAGGAAGUGCACUCGAAACUGCUGGGCUUGAGUUCUGGAGAGGAAGGCGGAAUUCUCGGUGUAGAGGUGAAAUUCGUAGAUAUCGAGAGGAACAUCGGUGGCGAAGGCGGCCUUCUGGACAGCAACUGACGCUGAGACGCGAAAGCGUGGGGAGCAAACAGG
RNAcentral lists this ribosomal RNA (253 nucleotides) under uncultured bacterium. Its description in RNAcentral is "partial 16S ribosomal RNA". It matches the Rfam family "Bacterial small subunit ribosomal RNA", at positions 524 to 776 of the family's 1533-position model. The record is from RNAcentral.